Molecule: long non-coding RNA, 1520 nt
Organism: Megachile rotundata (alfalfa leafcutting bee)
Lineage: Eukaryota; Metazoa; Arthropoda; Insecta; Hymenoptera; Megachilidae
Source: RefSeq, a predicted model, not a curated record
UCAGUACUCUAGAUAACAACUUAGUUGAUAUUUGAUAUUUUCUCCUAUUAAAACUGCGGUAUAAUCAUCAUAACAAGCAGCCUACAAAUAUAAAUGUUUAAAAAAAGGACUUCCGAUAAUUAGUCCCUACAGUGUUAUUUUCACAAACGUCGCAUUUAAAUUUACCAGUAUCAACAAUUCCAAGUCCUUGCACUCUCCUUGCAACUGAUAUAGAAAGUCGGUUAAAAAUAACGUUGUUUCAUUGUCACAUUAGGAUAAUAAUUGCAGCAUCCAAGUUCGUGUCACGAGCCCGAUAAGGGAAGGAAGCAAACAUCUGGAGAGUUUGCAUUCAAUGAUUAGACGUCUCGACGACAGGCGUCAUUAGUCUGCCGAUGUUUCGCGCAAGACAGUGUACAUCGUAUCUCUCUAAGCUCAUAUUCACGCAUUCCCUCGGGUCAAUUAAGACGUCUCGUGGCUAUUCUAUCAUUCCCGACCCUGGCUCGGUUGUGCAAUUCCGUUGAACGCGUGCACACAUGCCUCCGUUCAUCUACUUCAGUCGACGCAUCGAAUACUCGCAAAUUCUCCCAUUCGAGCUUAAUUGCUUCGUCGACUUUAUCUUUGCUGGAAAGCUCGUUGCUGCGCGGUAAAAAGAUUUCUUGAUCGUCACAAUUUUUGACAUCGAUCAAGUACUAGUGACCUCAUUAGAGCAUUGUUUAUUUUAUUAAAACGUCUUGGUUAAAACCUUAAUACCUUAUUUAAAAAAUUUGUAAAUUUCAGAUCCAACAAUGGGUUUUAACGUUUAUGCAAUUUUCUGUUGUAAACAAAUUUAUUUUUCAAUUUAUUCUAGAAGUAAAAACUUGUAAGUAUAAAAUUUGCAAUAUACCUAUAUGGGUCAAAUAUGAAGCUUCAAAGGAUUUUAUGAGAACGUUUACCCGACGCGUGAAAACGAUUGAAUUAAGAAACGAAGAUGAUGGACACAAUUUCAUCAAUCGAGAUGAGAAUACGAGCUUACAAAGUAGUCGAGGAAGCUCGAAAAAAAAAACGGAUAAAGACUUCCGGCAAAGAUGCUUUCGACGGACCCGUGAAUUUAUUUCGUUCCAUUUUACCAGCCAUUAGGAAAAUUAAAAAACCUCGAAAUUAAAACUUGUCCGAUAUUUAAGAGAUUGAUAAAUAAAAUUCAAUUAUUCUGAUUCCGAUUGAAUUUGGAUUAAAAUAUUUUUACGACGACAUUAACUGGUAAUUAGUUUUGAUUCGACGAAUAUCACCGAACGUUUCGAAUGAAACUUCCACGCGGAACUUAAGUGUAGUUCAUUUUAUUCGUCGCCAGAUUAUAAAAAUGUGAAGGACGAUCGAACGUUAAUGAGAUAUCGAACUUAUUCAAAGUUUCUCAAACUUUUUUCCUACUCCUGAAAUUCAUUUAAUUUUUUUAUGAAUCUGUAAUGAAGAAAGUUGUAUUAAAAGUACCUGUUUCGUUUCUUAAUAAAAACCUUCGUAAUUAUUUAAAGUAGAAGAAAUCCGUGUUAGUAAUAACUUUACUUUAU